UUUUCAUCCAUACAAGUGUUGGGCUUUUUAACUCCAUUUUAACACCAAAAUGCAAGCCCAAAAACCUGCGAAAUGGAUAAGGCAGACUGAGAAGGAGGCCCAGGCCAAAACUUGGGCCAGUUGGGCCAAGCCAGGUUUCGGCCAAAUCCUGAUCAUCGCUGUUGAUCUCAGGGUUUGGCAUGGACGCUCUUGAUUUACUCCUGAUGGCAG
This 210-nucleotide unclassified non-coding RNA is filed under the name Hevea brasiliensis (rubber tree). The record is from RNAcentral. Lineage: Eukaryota; Viridiplantae; Streptophyta; Magnoliopsida; Malpighiales; Euphorbiaceae.